RNAcentral lists this ribosomal RNA (253 nucleotides) under uncultured bacterium. RNAcentral's name for it is "partial 16S ribosomal RNA". It matches the Rfam family "Bacterial small subunit ribosomal RNA", at positions 524 to 776 of the family's 1533-position model. The record is from RNAcentral.
UACGUAGGGUGCGAGCGUUAAUCGGAAUUACUGGGCGUAAAGCGUGCGCAGGCGGUUAUGUAAGACAGAUGUGAAAUCCCCGGGCUCAACCUGGGAACUGCAUUUGUGACUGCAUAGCUAGAGUACGGUAGAGGGGGAUGGAAUUCCGCGUGUAGCAGUGAAAUGCGUAGAGAUGUGGAGGAAUACCGAUGGCGAAGGCAAUCCCCUGGGCCUGCACUGACGCUCAUGCACGAAAGCGUGGGGAGCAAACAGG